AACGAACGCUGGCGGCAUGCCUAACACAUGCAAGUCGAACGAGACCUUCGGGUCUAGUGGCGCACGGGUGCGUAACGCGUGGGAACCUGCCCUUAGGUUCGGAAUAACUCCCCGAAAGGGGUGCUAAUACCGGAUAAUGUCUUCGGACCAAAGAUUUAUCGCCUUUGGAUGGGCCCGCGUUGGAUUAGCUAGUUGGUAGGGUAAAAGCCUACCAAGGCGACGAUCCAUAGCUGGUCUGAGGGGAUGAUCAGCCACACUGGGACUGAGACACGACCCAGACUCCUACGGGAGGCAGCAGUGGGGAAUAUUGGACAAUGGGCGAAAGCCUGAUCCAGCAAUGCCGCGUGAGUGAUGAAGGCCUUAGGGUUGUAAAGCUCUUUUACCCGGGAUGAUAAUGACAGUACCGGGAGAAUAAGCUCCGGCUAACUCCGUG
RNAcentral lists this ribosomal RNA (433 nucleotides) under uncultured bacterium. RNAcentral's name for it is "partial 16S ribosomal RNA". It matches the Rfam family "Bacterial small subunit ribosomal RNA", at positions 29 to 507 of the family's 1533-position model. The record is from RNAcentral.